UCUGUUGUUUGGAGGCGUGGCAGAAGAACUUCGCAGCCACCGCAGAGGGAGGUUUCGCAAAAAGUGGGCCGCAGGAUCGACCCUGAGGCCCUCCUUCCGCCGUUCUAUUUUUACACAGUUGCCCCUUUGAUCGAAGGUCUGGGUUUGUUCGGGUUGUUACGCGAAAUGAAGCUCUGCUCCUUCCACCCCUCCUUCUCUGGCGUUCGUUUGUUGUUCAUCAUCUCUGACAGUUCGGCUCUUUCUUUCUUCUUCUCUUAUCUUCUCAUUGAAAGGAACCUCUGUCCAUGAGUCUCCAUCCUCUUCCUUCCUCUCCCUCGAACCUGCACAGCCCGCUUCUUCCACCGUAGCGCGAUUCUUUGGUGAAAGAUCAAAGAGGAAGAUGUACUAUCAUCGCCUGAAGAGGUUCAUAGUUUAAACUCUAUAGAGGUUGAUACUUUCUCCCUGCCCAACUUAGCAGUGCCUCCAAAUGCCUACACAGGCAUACGCAAGAAAAUUUCUUCUUUGAGACGUUGGCUUGCCAUCUGUGCUGAUGAUGCAACAAAGGGAGGAAGGUAACAAGUAACUGCCUGAAGGAUAUACUAGGUGAAUGAUAGGCCUUUAUCCUGCAGAAGGUGUUCCUUGCUCAAGGAUCUUGGCGACAAGCAUGAUAAAGCAAUUAGCAAAAUGCCCUUUUAGAUGGGAGUGUUGCUCCGCGGUUAAAGAUAUGAGAUUUUGGUUACUCUA
Long non-coding RNA from Phalaenopsis equestris, 723 nucleotides. RefSeq lists it as uncharacterized. Lineage: Eukaryota; Viridiplantae; Streptophyta; Magnoliopsida; Asparagales; Orchidaceae. The record is from RefSeq and is a predicted model, not a curated record. The transcript is spliced from 3 exons.